Molecule: ribosomal RNA, 166 nt
Filed under: Funneliformis mosseae
Lineage: Eukaryota; Fungi; Glomeromycota; Glomeromycetes; Glomerales; Glomeraceae
Description: 5.8S ribosomal RNA
Rfam family: 5.8S ribosomal RNA
About the family: 5.8S ribosomal RNA (5.8S rRNA) is a component of the large subunit of the eukaryotic ribosome. It is transcribed by RNA polymerase I as part of the 45S precursor that also contains 18S and 28S rRNA. Functionally, it is thought that 5.8S rRNA may be involved in ribosome translocation.
Source: RNAcentral
UCACUUUCAACAACGGAUCUCUUGGCUCUCGCAUCGAUGUAGAACGCAGCGAAAUGCGAUAAGUAGUGUGAAUUGCAUAAUUUUGUGAAUCAUCGAAUCUUUGAACGCAAAUUGCACUCCCUGGUAUUCCGGGGAGUAUGCCUGUUUGAGGGUCGUUAGAAUAAAA